UAAAAAAUAGAUAAAUAAACUGACUUUCAAAAAUCAGUAAAUGAAAGAAACAUGCGUCGAAUUUAUUGCCCCCAGCCUUUAGUAGAUCAUUUCCAACUACUCCAGUAUUACUCGAUCAACUCGUUAUACCUUUUCCCAACAUCUCUCUCAAUUCCCAACUUUAAUUACUCCUUCUGAACUACCAAACUCCAUCAUCAAUUACCCGGCCUCAUUGAUAAAUUGUUCUUCCAUCCCCAACUCCUCCCUCAAUCUCUUUCACUCUGCUUUCUCGAUAUGUCAUGGUUGGAAGUUGAAGUAAAGGUCCAAGUUUGGAAGCUUCAAAGAUGACAGGAUAUUUGCUGGGUACAACAAAACAUUGAGGGUGUUUGGUGUACAUCGCCCUGACAGAGAUUUUAAAAAACAUUCCACUCUUGAAGGAUCCAAAGAAGGGAAGUCUAGUACAACAUUCUUCCUUUUCACAUAAUUGCACAACUUUUGCGAAGGAUUUUGAUUGUUUUAGAAUUUCGUUCAAGCUAAGUUUUAGUUUAGGGCUUAAAAUAAGAGUCUUGGUUGUUGAUAAGAAAAGAUUCCAAGUUCCUAAACUCAGGUGAACUUAUCCUGAUGUAAAGUGAAUUUAACGAAAUUAAGAUGUUUCAACCUGUUUCUGUAUUGCUUUAAGAGUGAGUGGCUACGAUGUUUGAAAGCUGAGGACAGUUUCUGCUACUGUGUAGGUAUCACUUGUCUUUAGACCUCCCUCCUUUUGUGGAAUUUGUGGCAAAAUAUGAAGUUUAUGAAAAUGGAAAAAGGUGAGGUAAUUUUUGUCAUACCAUAAUAAGAGUGCAAGAACUAUUAAACACCAUUCUUAUACUAUCAUACUAUCAUAUUUGUCAUACCCGUUUCACCUGCAAUUCACCUGAUGUGCCCGCAUGAGGGGGAAUAAGUUUAUUUUGAGUUGUUUGUUAAGUAAACUCAGGAGCAUUGAGAUAUUGAAUCUGAAGCUAUAUGAUAAUGAUGAUGAUGUGAUAAGGUUGCUGCAGGAGGUUCUUACUAAUGCAAAUGUUUUGGAGGAUCUUAAUGUGUGGGUUCGUUUUCAUUCUGAUAAAAUUGAAAAGAAAUUGAGGAUGAGGGAAUUCGAGUUCUGUAAGAAAUUGUUUAUGCUUCCAAGGAGUUCACUAAGCUGCCAGAUUGACUUCUCUGGAAAACUCUUCCAAUUUUUUAAGAAAGACUUCGUAGAUGGUGAACUUUGCAUCAACAGAAAUUGAAUAGUGAGGGUAAGUUACAAGAAGGCAAUUAACAUGUGAUUUGCAUCUACUUUUGACGGGUAGAUGAAGAAGACGCAACACCAUGGAAAACUGAAGUGAUUCUUGGUUUGAUGGCUGACAAGGGACACCUGUCUCAUAAAGUUUCAAUGUUGAAGAGGAAUGUUGGUGAAUCAAACAACACAGUUAGGAGGGUGUAGAAGAAAAUAUGUUUUGUUGAUGUUGCAUAGUUUCAGUGGUGGGAUUGGUUGUUGAUUUUGGGUUCUUUUCAAUGUAUGUGUUGUUUUUGCCUUGCUGUUGAUGAUGGAGAAGUAGUCGUGAUAGUGAUGAUGUAGAUGUUAGGUGUUGUUGUUUAUUAUGAUGUUAGUUGGUGUUGAUGAUGAUGAUGUUAGAUUUUGGCUUAACCUAGGGUAGUAGGUUGUAACUCAGGUACUAUUGGUUUAGUGUUCGUAGUGGUUACAUAAACCCGAGUUGUGUGGACAAAUUUUUUGCAUU
Molecule: long non-coding RNA, 1733 nt
Organism: Spinacia oleracea (spinach)
Lineage: Eukaryota; Viridiplantae; Streptophyta; Magnoliopsida; Caryophyllales; Amaranthaceae
Exons: 3
Source: RefSeq, a predicted model, not a curated record